GGCAAUGCUAAAGCAACAGGGUAGAGGCCGCCAACGACCACACCCAGGAGCGCACCUCGAACUUCCGCGCAGGCCUUGCAGUCGAGAUUCCCUGUGCAGCGCAUGACAGAAAGAAAGGCGACCGGUUAGAAACUGCAUUUCAGAGAUUCUGUGUUUGUCUCCUCCUCUGCCCUCAACCCCGCCCACACCUCCGUUGAGGAAGCACCCUCGAGCGCAACAAGCAAAGAGAGGAAGCCUGGGAAUAAUGGCUAAUUCCUGGGAGAGAAGAGGAGAUUACAGGGAUGAGUCCCGCACACUGGAGCCCACUCCACCCACCCAUUACAUAAGCGUGGAUGAGAAGCGGCUGAUCCACACUGUGUGGGUGGGUGUACGUGUCUGUGCGGAUGCGAAUCUCCCCCCAGAUUCGCCGAGAGGUUGCCUUGGAAACACAAUUGGUAAAUCUGUAUGCAGGCAGCUGCUGCAUACCAGGUAGGGGAAAACAGAAGAACGGAAAUAAGCAGCUAAAGAAAAUCAGAAAAGGCUAAAUUAGUGUAAUUAGAUUUAGGUCCAUGGUGUAUAUUUGAGCAAAGUGUUUUCUUUAUGAGACAGAGACACAGCUGCAGCAAAUUUCUCCACACAGCCUGAUCAAAGUCCUCUGAAAUGCUUUAUCUGGUUUUGAGUGUGACCUGCAUUGAGCACAUAAGGACUAAACACCCUCCUAAUUUCAUAACCCGCUAAUGUUUCAGAUUUCUCAUGCUUUUCUCUUUAGACUGAACUCUCACUGGAGUCAAAGCCUGUGGGAGGUAGUUUAUUAUUACAUAAUUAUAACAUGUAUUUCUCUGCAGAGCCUGACUGUACUUAUUUCCAAAAAACGCUAAACCAAGAUAUCAAUUGUAUCUUUUACCCUAUAGGUGUGUAUCUUUUUAAACUUUAAUAUGAAUAUAUAUUUAUUUUAAACAAUGGAUUUUCUAUGAACACAAAAAAGUAAGUUCUGUGUUAUGCAGUGUAUUGAACAGUGGACUGAGGUGGACUAUUGAAACAUGCUUGACCUCCCAAAAUUCAGAUAUAGCUGAAAGGACAUUUGGCAAUUAAAAAAAAAAAAAAAAAAAAUGUUUACUUUUAAAAAAAUAUUUUGUGAAUGAAGAGUGGGUACGUUUUCAUUUUUAUCUGCCUUGUUUUUUUUUAAAUGUUUAAUUCUCACCCAAUAACUAAUUUCAUUUUGAGUACAUUUCACAUAAGCACAUGUCAAUGUGUCAUGGGAGAUGGGCAGUUGACCUUUGACAUAGCUGGGAGGGAGCCAGUGUGUACCUGUGAAAAUUGACAGUAAUUUGAAUGACACUUGAAUGUUUCCAGUGAGAACAUAUUGUCUGUUGGAUUCUUUGUAUUUAUAUUUUGCAGGAUGCCAAAAGCUACAUUGAAUUAAAAACAUGAUAUUUCUUUAAAA
This is a long non-coding RNA of Anguilla rostrata (American eel), 1423 nucleotides long. RefSeq lists it as uncharacterized. The record is from RefSeq and is a predicted model, not a curated record. NCBI's taxonomy places the organism in Eukaryota, Metazoa, Chordata, Actinopteri, Anguilliformes, Anguillidae. The transcript has 3 exons.